ACUGCUCAGUAACACGUGGACAACCUGCCCUUAGGACGGGGAUAAACCCGGGAAACUGGGUAUAAUACCCGAUAGGUCUCGAUUGCUGGAAUGCAUCGAGAUUUAAAGCUCCGGCGCCUAAGGAUGGGUCUGCGGCCUAUCAGGUAGUAGUGGGUGUAGCGUACCUACUAGCCUACGACGGGUACGGGUUGUGAGAGCAAGAGCCCGGAGAUGGAUUCUGAGACACGAAUCCAGGCCCUACGGGGUGCAGCAGGCGCGAAAACUUUACAAUGCUGGCAACAGCGAUAAGGGAACCUCGAGUGCCAGGUUACAAAUCUGGCUGUCGAGAUGCCUAAAAAGCAUUUCAUAGCAAGGGCCGGGCAAGACCGGUGCCAGCCGCCGCGGUAACACCGGCGGCUCGAGUGGUAACCGUUGUUACUGGGUCUAAAGGGUCUGUAGCCGGCCGGAUAAGUCUCUUGAGAAAUCUGGCAGCUUAACUGUCAGGCUUUCAGGAGAUACUGUCUGGCUCGAGGCCGGGAGAGGUGAGAGGUACUUCAGGGGUAGGGGUGAAAUCUUGUAAUCCUUGAAGGACCACCAGUGGCGAAGGCGUCUCACCAGAACGGACCUGACGGCAAGGGACGAAAGCUAGGGGCACGAACCGGAUUAGAUACCCGGGUAGUCCUAGCCGUAAACGAUACUCGCUAGGUGUCGGCCACGGUGCGACCGUUGUCGGUGCCGUAGGGAAGCCGUGAAGCGAGCCACCUGGGAAGUACGGCCGCAAGGCUGAAACUUAAAGGAAUUGGCGGGGGAGCAC
This 793-nucleotide ribosomal RNA is filed under the name uncultured archaeon. Its description in RNAcentral is "bacterial SSU rRNA". It matches the Rfam family "Archaeal small subunit ribosomal RNA", at positions 85 to 879 of the family's 1478-position model. The record is from RNAcentral.